Molecule: ribosomal RNA, 466 nt
Filed under: uncultured Arthrobacter sp.
Lineage: Bacteria; Bacillati; Actinomycetota; Actinomycetes; Micrococcales; Micrococcaceae
Description: bacterial SSU rRNA
Rfam family: Bacterial small subunit ribosomal RNA
Source: RNAcentral
UUAGAGUUUGAUCCAUGGCUCAGGAUGAACGCUGGCGGCGUGCUUAACACAUGCAAGUCGAACGAUGAAGCCCACUUGUGGGUGGAUUAGUGGCGAACGGGUGAGUAACACGUGAGUAACCUGCCCUUGACUCUGGGAUAAGCCUGGGAAACCGGGUCUAAUACUGGAUACGACCUUCCCGCGCAUGCGGUGUUGGUGGAAAGCUUUUGUGGUUUUGGAUGGACUCGCGGCCUAUCAGCUUGUUGGUGGGGUAAUGGCCUACCAAGGCGACGACGGGUAGCCGGCCUGAGAGGGUGACCGGCCACACUGGGACUGAGACACGGCCCAGACUCCUACGGGAGGCAGCAGUGGGGAAUAUUGCACAAUGGGCGCAAGCCUGAUGCAGCGACGCCGCGUGAGGGAUGAAGGCCUUCGGGUUGUAAACCUUCUUUCAGUAGGGAAGAAGCCGCUCUUUCGGGGGGGUGAC